CAUUAAGAAGCUAUGCAACAGCACUAGCCUUUUAAGCUAGCCAGAGAGGGACCUCUCCCCUCCUUAAUGA
This 70-nucleotide transfer RNA is filed under the name Cygnus atratus (black swan). RNAcentral describes it as "tRNA-Lys". The record is from RNAcentral. Lineage: Eukaryota; Metazoa; Chordata; Aves; Anseriformes; Anatidae. RNAcentral also lists the same sequence under 1 other name.